AUCGCUUCUCGGCCUUUUGGCUAAGAUCAAGUGUAGUAUCUGUUCUUAUCAGUUUAAUAUCUGAUACGUCCCCUACCCGGGGACCAUAUAUUAAAUAGAUUUUUGGAACAGGGAGAUGGAAUAGGGGCUUGCUCCGUCCACUCCACGCAUCGACCUGGUAUUGCAGUAUCUCCAGGAACGGUGCACUCCCU
Echeneis naucrates (live sharksucker) is the source of this 191-nucleotide small nuclear RNA. Its record names the gene U2. It matches the Rfam family "U2 spliceosomal RNA". From Rfam's summary of the family: U2 is a small nuclear RNA (snRNA) component of the spliceosome (involved in pre-mRNA splicing). Complementary binding between U2 snRNA (in an area lying towards the 5' end but 3' to hairpin I) and the branchpoint sequence (BPS) of the intron results the bulging out of an unpaired adenosine, on the BPS, which initiates a nucleophilic attack at the intronic 5' splice site, thus starting the first of two transesterification reactions that mediate splicing. NCBI's taxonomy places the organism in Eukaryota, Metazoa, Chordata, Actinopteri, Carangiformes, Echeneidae. The record is from Ensembl.